Molecule: ribosomal RNA, 6834 nt
Filed under: Ixodes scapularis (black-legged tick)
Lineage: Eukaryota; Metazoa; Arthropoda; Arachnida; Ixodida; Ixodidae
Description: eukaryotic large subunit ribosomal RNA
Rfam family: Eukaryotic large subunit ribosomal RNA (bases 5547-6834)
Source: RNAcentral
CCCGCUGAAUUUAAGCAUAUCACUAAGUGGAGGAGAAGAAACCAACAGGGAUUUCCUUAGUAGCGGCGAGCGAAACGGGACUUAGCCCAGCACCGAAUCCCUCAUCCUUGCCGGCGAUCGGGAAAUGUGGUGUAUGGGAGGUAACGUUCCCGAGAGUUUUGCGGUGGUGCAAGUCCCCCUGACAGGCGCUUGACCCAGAGUGGGUGCCAGGCCCGUCUCCGCAACUGCUCUCUCGGGAUGGAAUCUCCCGUGGGUCGGGUUGCUUGAGAGUGCAGCCCUAAGUGGGUGGUAUACUCCAUUUAAGGCUAAGUACGUCCGAGAGACCGAUAGCUCACAAGUACCGUGAGGGAAAGUUGAAAAGAACUUUGAAGAGAGAGUUCAAGAGUACGUGAAACCGCUUAGAGUAAAACGGGUGGGCCCUCGAAGCACGAGGGCGGUGGGAUUCAGUUUCGCUGUAACGUGAAGCGGUGUCAGCGUCUUGGUUUACGGGCUCUCCCUGUGGGGGCUCGUUCCGGCUACCCGCGCGGUGCCGCGCACUACGAAACGCAUUUUCCACCGUCGGUAGGACGCGCGACGGGCACGGGUAAUCCUUUCAAGAACGAUUUUGAGUCCGGCCGCUGGAGGUGACCGGCGACGGCCCUUGUUUGGCUGUCGUGGGACUUAUACCUGGCCGGUAAUCGAGCACGUCACCCUGCCCAGGCCUCAUGGGCUACUCCCUUUGGGGAGGCCCGAAACGAUGCCCUCCGGAUGCGGAGCGGGAAACCCGGCUGGGUCAACGGGUCCCCUGCCUUACGCCAGGUAUUCGCCUGACUUUCGGUGUUGGGCUCGGAACCGGCGAGGCAGGUUCUCUCCGCGGAGGUUUUUUUGCGUCAAGGUUGGCGGCGAGUAGGUCGGUAACCCACCCGACCUGUCUUGAAACACGGACCUAGGAGUCUAACAUGUGCGCGAGUCAAUGGGUCCCUCAAAACCCAGAGGUGCAAUGAAACGUGAAGGCGCGGCCUCGUGCCGUGCCGAGUGGCGAUCCCGGGCCGCCCAGGGGUCCGAUGAAGGGAGCAGCACGGCCCGCCCCACACGCUCACGUCGUGGGGGCGGCGCUAGAGCGCACACGUUGGCACCCGAAAGAUGGUGAACUAUGCCCGGGCAGGACGAGGCCAGAGGAAACUCUGGUGGAGGUCCGAAGCGCUUCUGGCGUGCAAAUCGACGGCGACCAGGUAUAGAGGCGAAAGACUAAAACAGCACCAUCUAAGAAGGCUUCAAUAGGAGCGUUUUAUGAAAACAAAACAGAACAUAAGAAAAAGGGUUGGAUAUUGCGUGGCAUUUUUUAACAGCUAGUGGAGAAACAUAAAAAAAGUACGCUGGCGGGCGACGGGAUCACACUCAAGCCAGUGUCCUGAGUGCUGCUGCUGUGUGAUUGCUAAAAGCAAAUAAAGUUAACAGUAGUUACUACCACUUAACUACUCUAAUCUCUGAAGAGAUUGGGUAGUUAGAGGGGAUACCUUCGCGUAGGUCUUGGCUUCGUUGUCUGGUGUUUUUUGAAGUAUCAGAAAAAGAGGAAAAGUUAUUGGGAAAACGAUAUCAAUAGUUCAAGUUAUGAACUGCCUGGUUUGUGGCGGUCCGGUGAGGUUCCGUAGUACUCGUCGUUUCGUAAUUACCACCUAAGCGUAAAACACCUCCCCCCCCCACCCCCCCCCCCCCCCCCCCCCCCCCCAAAAAAAAAGCGGGAGAUGCGCUGAUUACAGAUGCAUUGAUACAACCGGUAAGAUAAUGUGACUUUAAUGUGGAGCGUAUUCAAGGUGUAUCAUGGGCACCGAUUCUGCGGGAUUCAUUCGCCGUGAAUAAAAUCUCCUGGAAACAGGAGGAUGGAGCUUGCAGGCGAGAAGUUGUAUGUUUACAGUUAAAUUCACAGAUUAUUUCCGACGAAAGUCUUGAUCGAGUGGAAACCGGUGAAGCAGUAACAUGCUGCAGCCUCAAUGCUGCAGCCUCAAUGCUGUGGCCUUACACUGCAGCAUGGGCUGAACACACCGUUGCCGCACACACUUUCUGUUUUCUUUUUAAACAACUAACGACAGCACAUUGCCGUGCGAUUGAAUUAUUUAUUGUAGACAAUAUCACCAGCAAACUUGUGCGUCAAAAUGAGCAAAACUGCUCGAAAAUUGUGGUGGCUUAAAGCGCGAUCCAAACCAACGCUCCUUUUUGCGCCUGUAGGUCGUGCGGCUGCGGAUGUGACGUAUUUUCGUGACGUCGCGCCGCUUCUUCGCUCCUUCCGGGCGCGCACAAGAAAGUUGGAUGAUUUCAACUUCUCAACGCGCACAAAAACGCGCGGUGACGUAGUAGGACGCUCCUGUGUCCCGGCCAAUCGGUGGAGGGCAAGCUAGUUCCGGCUCCGCGUUUCUCGCCGUCUGGCUGCCCUCUCCUCCCCCCCCCCCCCCCCUUUUAUUCUCUUCCAACAUGACAACGCGAUCUCUCUCUCUCUCUCUCUUUCUCUCGCCGUCUGGCCGGCCAGUCUGUCGCAGUUGCACCUUGCUUGUGCGCUUGUGCCUGCGUGCGCGCGUGCGCGCUCGCCCGAAGUUUUGCCCGUCCAAACCAAAGCGCACGGUUCUGACUCAGAAAGCGCGCCCGGAAACAGCAAAAACGCCACGAAAUGCGUCACAUCCGCAGCCGCACGACCUACAGGCGCAAAAAGAAGCGUUGGUUUGGAUCGCGCUUAACUCAGCUAUGCGUAGCGUGAGCUUAUGCGCACAAAAUGAGAUGCGCUAUCAAGCGGCUCCGGUGCAGCGUCAGACUUCACUACUGCGCAACGGAGGCGCACAGCUGGGCACACGGUGGCGCCAGUGCGUCUGCCGCGGCUAUGACGUCACUCCUCUGGAAUGCGCACACCGGCGAGGCGGGGCGCGGCAGAGCCGUAUAUGUAGAGAGUUUGGCCAUUCGUUGGGAAGUAUAGGAGACAAAUGAGGAGGCGCCAUUGGCCGAAAGCGGGCUGGGCGUGUUCCAGGGCGUCUUCAGAAGUUCGAAUGUGACGAACCAGAAGCCGGAAAUAAUACCCUGGCGGCGGGUCGCGAGAAACAAAUCUGAUAACUGCAUUAGAGUAACUCUCGAUGGCUGAAAAUAUGGUACACGUGAUGUUUCAAUCCCGCUCAUUCAAAAUGAUGGUGGAAGAGUGCGACUAGCGGAACGAUCGGCAUAAUCCGUACGCCCAGCGCCGAGGGCCGGGAGUCUGCCGUCCGAGCGGUCACACUCUGUCCGCGCAAAACAGAGUUGAGCGGCGCAUUGGUUUCUUACAUCUUUCUGCAUGAUUAUGAUCAAAACAACACGUGCACCCUAUUAUCAACCACGAAGAGUUACUACAUUUCACUCUUACGCGCUUAUUAAAACCAUUUAAGAACAUAUACCUUUGAUCAGAACUGUUUCUCGCUACCACCGCUAGGGGAUUCUUUUCGGCUUCUGGUUUGUCAAGAGAGCAUACCGAGCCCUCUUUCCAAGUCUGGUGCACACCCAGGCUCUGCCCGCGCCUCCCAUUGACCAAACUCUCUACAUACACGGCUCUGGGGCGCGGCGGCGGCGGCUCCGGCGCGCCAGCUGUGCGCCGUGUAACGUCACUGCUCCUCGCGCAUGCGCAGCACGGAGCACGGCUCAUUAUGCGAGCCACGCGAAACUGCUCAACAUCGGCCCCAGUGUAGCUCACGUUACAAACUAGCCAGAAUAAGCACCAGCGGGGGCUUCGGUAUUGCCCAGGGAACCCUCAUGCGCGCAUCGUGUAUACUCCCCACUCCGAACUUCCUUCCAAAAGAACCGAUUCGAAAAAUUGGCCGUCGACGAGUUGGCUUUCGACGAAUCGGCCUAGAACCUCAAUUCCUUUACAGUGCCUUAUUUGAGACGUGCAUUUUUUAACUUCAAAUGCUAUACGUAGGGUUCAGCGUUUUCGGGUUAAACCGAGCAUAACCGGUAAAAGUACGCUGAAUUCAUUUUUCCGAAUUCGGUCAUUAUUGAAAAGUUCAGUAUUUUCGAAGGCGUUUGGAGUGGUGUGUGUGUGUGGGGGGGGGGGGGGGGGGGGGGGGGGGGGGGGGGGGGGGGGGGGAUUUGACUGAUAACUAGGGUUUCGUGUUUUCGGAUAAAUUCGGAAAACAUCCGCCGGUAAAAGUUUCGUCUAUUCGGAUGUAUCUGAUAAACUCUGAAUUUCGAUGUGCCAAUCCCCUCCCCCCCCCCCCCCCCCCCCCCCCCCCACACACACACACACAAAUAUAUUUUACAAUUAAUGGUUAAAUCAGCGCAUAGAGUAAAUGGUCCUGGGAAAAUGCCACCACACUUAUGUUUCAAAUUUCGGUCAGGACAACAGCUCAUUGUACUAUCGGGUCAAGACAAAAGUUACUGUUUAUGUUUCCGGUUUGGGUUAUACUAUUUGUGCCUGAGAGGAAGGAGAGGUUGUGUUUUUGUAACCGUGAAAGCUAUGGACCACAGCAACUACAUAAAGUGGGGAAGAGGACAGUUGAAACUUCUCUAUCUAAUCUUUUUCCACUCUACCUCUUGCGGUCGCGCGGUAGGUUGAUGGAAUAGCAUGGAAUCAAUACAGACUUCCCAGCGACUACCUCCAGUAGUUUAUUAAUUUUAAGGCAUCGACAUUUAUCGAAAUAACACUUGUGUGCCACUUUUGUUCUAUGACAAAUUAGUAUUGCCAGUAGUAAUGGCACCAAUGCCAAAUCCAACUGAAGAAAAUAUUAAUUGAUACAAUCGCGUUUUUUUUUCGUUUUUUUUUUUUGUCCAGCAUACGUUUACAUUUAGAUAUUAUUUGUUUAAUUUUAAUAAGAAGCACUGCGAAAUUGAGCUGCGAAUUUUGGAGAAUUCGGAAUCAAACAAAAAUAAACUCCAAUAAACUCCGAAUUUUCGGCAAAAAAUAAACUCAGAAAAACACCCUCCGAACAUGACGAAAACUAAACUCCGAAAACACGGAACCCUACUCAUUACUGACCGUAUGACCACUUCUUUUCGCAGUUUUCAGCUUGUCUGCGAGAUCGGUUCAACUUUCAUCAAAAGCUGCGGGGGCGCAGGGGUCUUCAGGACAAAAUCUGGGUUUUUCAUCUGAUAGGGAUUUGUGCCGAAUUCUUUGUUCAAAGAAGAGAGUUUAAUCGUGAAAUCAAACAAUGGAAAUCAAGAACGUCCGUAAAUGCCGCGCAUUGUUUAACACCCCCAACUUCCGUCUACUAGAGGAGGGCAUAAAUACGAGUGUUUUAUUGUCAUUUAUGCCGUCGGCGCGAGUUUAUCACCUCUCGCAGUUACGAAAAGGGGGGAAAACGCACCGAGUACAAUGCUUGCUAAUUUCUCCAUUUUGAUAUUUGCCUCUCCGACCGAAGUGGUACUGAAGUUCAUGCUCGUCCUGUGUACAAAUGUGAGCACACGACGAUAAUGUCAGAUCACGAUAAUGCCCCAGUGCGUCUUACAGAACAGGUCACGUCGGCUGCCAAAGACGGCAACAAAUAAGGUCAGUCACCUGGUACUCCAUAUACAUUUUACACAAACCGCUUUUAAUUAUUGCAUUUUCGUUAGUGUACUGGUUUUCGCUAAUGAAUCGAAUAUAACUUAGAAGUUUAUGAGUCUACAAAUAUUCACCGUAAUAAACCGAAAACUUAUGUUUGGAAUAAAAACCGAAAGAAGUGCGCGGAAUUUCAAAUAAUACUAACCGAAAACGCCGAGCCCUAGUUAUAUUGUCAAUUUCAUGUUUUGACGCUGUGCUGUUUUGUUGCUGUGCUGUUUUGACGUUCGUGCUGUUUUGACGCCGUGCUGUUUUGGCACGUGCUCUUCUGUCGCUGUGCCGUUUUGACACUGUGCUGUUUUGUCGCGUGCUAUUUUGACGCGCGCUGUUUUGUCGCCGUGCUGUUUUGACGCUGUGCUGUUUUGACGCAUGCUGUUUUGACCGUGCUGUUUUGUCGCGUGCUGUUAUGUCGUGUGCUGUUCUGUCAUGGUGCCGUGUCGGAGGCCUUCAGGUCUGAGGCCUCCGGAAGCGAUGAGAGCGCCAAGUGGGCCACUUUUGGUAAGCAGAACUGGCGCUGUGGGAUGAACCAAACGCCGGAGUAAGGCGCCCGAUGCGGGACGCUCAUGAGAUCCCAUGAAGGGUGUUGGUUGCUUAAGACAGCAGGACGGUGGCCAUGGAAGUCGGAACCCGCUUAGGAGUGUGUAACAACGCACUUGCCGAAGCAACUAGCCCCGAAAAUGGAUGACGCUCAUGUGUCGAGCCUAUCCCCGGCCGCUGCCGGCAGAUGCACGCAAACAAGGGGGUGUAAGCUGCAGCGAGUAGGAGGGCCGCUGCGGCGAGCGUUGAACGUGUCGGGCGUAAGCCCGUCUGGAGCCGCCGCUGGUGCAGAUCUUGGUGGUAGUAGCAAAUACUCAAGUGAGAACCUUGAGGACUGAAGUGGAGAGGGGUUCCAUGUGAACAGCAGUUGAACAUGGGUGAGUCGGUCCUAAGGGAAAGGAGAAGUUCUUUCCGAAGCCGGAGCACUUUUUUUGCAGUGGAGAGAGCCCCGCAGUGACCGAAAGGGAAUCGGGUUAAUAAUCCCGAACCCGGACACGGAGAUUGGUCCUUCGGGGCCCAGUGCGGUAACGCAAACCAGCUCAGAGACGCCGAUUCGAGCCCCGAGAAGAGUUUUCUUUUCUCUGUAGGGAGAUCGAGUCCCUGGAAUGGGUUCGCCCCGAGAUAGAGAUGGUGGCUCCGUAGAGCAGUGCGGUUCUUGCUCUGUCCGGUGCGCUCGCGUCGGCCCUUGAAAAUCCGAGUGAGGGAGUAUGAUUUUCGUGCCGCACCGUACCCACAUCCGCAGCAGGUCUCCAAGGUGAACAGCCUCUAGAGUC